GGCUGCUGAAAGAGGGACAAGAUUUUCUCCGGCGAAAAUUUUCACUGGAAAUAAGUUUUCGAAUGAUGGAAGCUUCUUAGAAAUGUUUAAAAAACAUAUGGAAGAGAAAGAUGAAUUGAAUUCAAACACAACGAAGGAAUCAGACUCCUCAAAUGUGGAUAAAUCGUCUUCCUCUUCUGUUGGUCAAGAAACUUCCGACUCGACGGCCACUGACAAAAAACCGGUUGUUUUACCUAUUGUAGGGAAGAGGAAAGGGGCUAAUCGUGCACUCAAAACUGGUAUUGUGGCCAAGAAACCAAAACCAGAGAAAAAAGAGGAGUCUGACGGUAGCGCUUGGUCUAAGUAUUUAGCUGAAGUGAACGAAUAUAAGUCUAAGAUGUGCAUGGAUGAGGACAAAAGCAGGCCACUAGUGAAAUGAGUAGUCCAUGCAAAGUGAGUAUUGGAGGACAAAUGCAGGCUGCGGUGGAACGAGAAGUUUACAUGGGAAGUAACCAUUACGACAUCUCUGAGAAGACUUGAUCUGCAUUAAUAGACUGUUUUCUGAGAGACGUUGACCAACCUCAAACUUUUCUACCUUAUAGCUAUAGCUUCAUUGUAACAUCAGAUUGAAAUGUUUGCAUUUUUCAGUACUUGGGGCACUUGAUUUUCCAGACUGAACUACAAGUCUUUUGUGCAUAGAUUAGUUCAUUUUUGGAAAACUAAGUUUACAUUUUUACCAAUGCAAUCUUCAAUUUGUUUGAUAAGUUGAAGAAAGGAAGAGAUUUUAUUCAGAAAUUUAAAAUUUGUACCGAUCAUUUGGAAGGUGUAACCUAUUGUGCAUACUGAAAUUAUUUGAUACUGAUUUUUGUUCAAUCAUUGAAUUCUGGUGGUACAUUGCUUUCCAGAAAAUUGUGAAUUUAUAUAUCCUUGUAUAAUGGAAUUGUACUUAUUGAAAAAGUGAGCAGAAUCUGUGCAUAUUUCAAAAGGUUACAUAUAUAUAUAGAUCCUAGAUUCUGAUGGGCUGACACACUCCAGACAGCAACUUCCCUUAAUACAAACAUUGAUAUGUCAGUCCUGCUUUGUUAUUGAUGCUCAGGCCUAUAGUUCAAAGAUGAAUGGAAUCCGUGCUGUACCCGUAACUGAUAUAUAAAGGGGAAUGGCUACUUGCUUAGUUCUGAUUGGUGGUUGAAAACAAUUUUCCUAAUUAUUUUUGAAAAUAUAAGUUAAGUUUAAUUUUUGUAUACCUGGUAGAUGAGAAUUGAAGAAUCUUCACAUUCAGUUAGGAUACAGGCUCUGACUUAAUUCUGAUUGGCUGUCUCUUUCUUGAGAUGUUUUACGUUCAUGUGUAGAUUUUUACCAAAGUUGGUGCAUGUUUUCAUGUCAAAAACUCAGACCAUUUGAACUGCUACAGUUUGAAUUGAACAAAUACUACAUUUUUAAUGAUAAUGAGGUUACCGACACUUCCUCAGUUCUGAUGAUUGGUUGUCAUUUUUUUUCUCUCGAAAAUAUCUUUCCAAUGUGUGUACAGGAUUUUAACAAAUUUUGCUUAUGCUUGUUUAAUCUUAGUGUUCAAGAUGGCUGGAAUCUGUGUUUUGUAAUGAGGAUACAGAAGGUUUUGCAGUUCUGAUUAGUUGAUGCUAUGUCCAGACUUCAGACAUAUUAAGAUGGUGUUAUGAUUAUUGUAUGGAUGAGAUAAUUACAGUAACGUACAUACAUUCUAUGAAUUUCCAUUUUUUUAAAUAUUUUUUUUGUGUGUGUGUUGUGUGUACUUAAUUGCCUUCAAGAAUUAAUUGGACUCAGAUCAGCAAUACUUUUACCAAAACAUAAUCAAUAUAGUGAUUUUAAGACCUGGCUUAGAUAUGGCCAAUCAUGUCAAAAAAGGUAGCACAUCAGAUUUCAUUUAGACCACAUAGUCAACUAGAGCUAAUUAACGUGUAAUAGAUGACCAGGUUUAUCUGUCAACCUUAUAACAUAAUAUGUUGUUCCUUGUAAGACAUAUCUAUUCGCUGUACUACCAUCUCAAUAUUUAUUAAACUUAGUCACUUUUUAAAAGCCAGCGACAAUCUUAAUAACAGUCUCAAUUUUUUGUGGAUUUUUUUUUUUUUAAAUGCAGUCAGUUUUUUAAUCCUGACGUGUACAGUAACACCUCAAUAUAGCGCUCCUCAUGUGUUUGUCACAUUGUUAAACCCCUUCAUCAUGCCAAAAUUUUGCUGGACAAAAUGUGGCAGUAUAGCAGCAUUCAGAUUUGUUGACUUUUGAUGUAAAAUUCUGAAUUUUGAGUCCUUUUAUCUAAAGUCACUAAGUUAGGUUUUCACUUAAACAUAUGUUCUUUUUCAUGGAUUACUUCAACAUUUUUUUGCAUAGAACAACCAGUCUUUUAAAAGAUAUUCUGUCUGGUAUCCUAUACAUGAUGUGUUUGUCCUGUACACCAUUACACAUUGUGAUGAAGGGAUUUCAGAAAGCUUGUUGGUUAAAAAUUGUAGGGAAAUACUUAACUAAAUGUACUUAUCUUUUACUUUAUUUGAUUUUCCAGUUACCUUUCAGAAUGCAAUUAUUAUCAAUCUCCGGAGAAUGACUGUGUCGGUAAACACAGAUAUAAUAUAUAUAUGUAACAAUGACUUCCAGUAAAAAUCUGGUGACAUGAUCAUGAAUGCUGCUACAUCUUUUUAUUUUACAAUGAAACUUUCCUGAUGACUAUUCCAUUAAUAUAGUUGGGAGCCUGUCAGUGACCACACCCUUCUAUUUUCUUUCUUGGCUCCACUAAAGUCAUUUUAGCAACAACUUUUAGACUCCAUCACUGAUGUAUUAUUGGUCAUAAUUGCCAACUUUUUAAUCUGUCUUACUCAAAAUUAAAAGUAUAAAUAAAAUGUGUAUAUGUACAUCCUAAGGAUUUGUUUCUUCCCUGAUACUCCCCCAACACCAUGUAGUAAUAUCUGGAAUAAUUCAUCUCAAAGGGGACCAAAUGUCUGGAAACUUAGAAAGAUUAAGGUCUAAUAAUUAGCAUAGGUUUUGGGAUUGGGACAGCUUAAAUUCACAAAGGUUACAUAAGCAUCCUAGUACAUUGUAUUACGCACAUACUUGUAAAUAUUUCUUGAUAAAAAAAAAGAAAUCAUAAUUGUACAACUGCUGAAAGUUUUAUGAGUUUUUGUUUAGUUCUGUACAUGUGUAACACGUUAAAAUUUGUCUUCACUACGCAUUUUAUGUGUAUAUAGCUUCUUGUCCUUCAAUAUGUCGCUAAGCAAUAAUAUACAAUCAUCUGCAUAUUUGAGAAGCUACUUGUACUUUUAAGGAUGGUAUUUUUAAUUAUGUAAAUAAGAUAAUAAGGUAGAGCAACCCACCACUUUCCUUCUUUAUACAUGCUCGAAAAUUUAUUCUCCUGUGAAUUUCAUGCUAUUUUCUGUAAAUUCAUACAAAGACAAAUAAAGGUUGCAUGCUUUUUGAGGGAGGGAGAUAUUUUGACAAUAAGUAUUAACAAAUAUAACUGCAUGGUAGGACAAUGUAUAAACACCUGGUUUAUGAUCAAGAUAUCUGUGUAUUAAAUCGUCAUUACAAGAUGUUAAAGAAAGUUAUGAUAAAUAUAUAACUUUCACUGUAUGCAUCUUUUUUGAUGGGCAAGCAACUCAAGUUAGGAAAUUGCCAAACAAAUUAGAACCGUCCCUUUUUGGAGAUACAACAAAGACUGCGGGGACUAUCUACCUUAAGAAAAGGAAAUUUGAUACAUAUGUACGGUAUACAUGAAUUCCUGUAGAGUAAAACAUCAUAAAAUCUAUCCUUGUGAAUAAAAGCAACUUCUCAGUUUGAAGAUAUUUGUGAAACUGGAUCGUAUAGUUUCACACCGUGUUUGAUAGUUGUCAACCUGCUGGACGUCCGGGUUGACAGUCAUGGAUGUGUACUUAUAUUGUACAGGUAAUACAGAGUUGCUCGGAUACAAAUGUUUAUAUAAAUUAACAAUAUAUAAUGGUGUUUUUUUUUGUUUUUUUGUUUGUGAAUCUGGAAUUUAUAAAUGUAUAUCAUAGCAUAUACAUGCAUACGUUUCACAACUCUCAACAGAUGUUAUUAAGUACAGCCUCAGUUAUGAAAGUGUUUGGAUGGAUAUAGCAAGUCAUGAGGAGUUUGAAUGUGUUUCCUUUCAUUAUAAUGACCUAUGACAUUAAUAUGGACUUUCACCAGUCAAAAAUUGAUGUUCGAUUGGUUUGUAAUGUGCACUGCACUUUAUGUGUAUUUUAAUUAUUACAUCGUAAUUCUCUUUUACCCCAAUUUGAAAAGAAGAAAAAGUAUGAUUUUAAAAAUGAUAUCAACAUUAUGGUAUACAAAUGUUCUGUUGUGUUAGUGUUUGGUUUUCAACUGAAGUAUUAAGCUCUCACUAAUUAGUUUUAAACUUUUAAAUUAAGUCUCUUGGUAAAAUUUUAGUGUCAAGUUUUGUAAAAUUUAGAAUUUUUAAAUUAAAUAACUUGAGUAAGUUAUACAAUCGUCCCAAAUCAUGGCUUUUUGAAGAACCUCAAUAUAUGCAAUGUAUAACUAUAUACAAUAAUAUAAAGAUUAGAUACUGUUUUAAGAACUAGUACUGGUGUAUAUUUGAAUAUGACUUGUUACUGCCAACCUUUUUUUUAAGCUACUGUAAUACAUAAUUACUUACAUGUAUUCCACACUGCAAGUGGGAAAUACUAUAAGCUUCUGUUAAAGUGUUAUGAUAAAAGUCAGAGAUUUAUUCUGUUAAUUUUAGUCUACUAUUGAUGACUUCUGUAAGAGAAAUUUCUGUGUUUGUUUGAGUUGAUUUAAUUUUUAAUUUAUUGGAAUAUGUCUCAUUUAGCUCCUCUUGCCCACUUCCUUUUUCUUGUGCUAAACCUAUAGGGAAUGUUUAGAUUGUGAAGUGUUGUAAUUUUGGAAAUGUGUUCCUUAAGAUCCAGUCAUUUUUAACUAUCAUUAUCUUUGGGUAAUGUACAACUCAAAUGAAAAUUGUAUUGAACCAUUUUAGUUGAAAGUGAUUUUAAUACAUUGAUUCUAGUUUUUACCAGAUAGCAGAACAAUUUAUUGUGGUUUUAAAUUGUUUUAGUCUUUACAAUAACAUCCACAUUGGGGGUGAUAGGCCCGAGAUAACAGUCAUCAUAGCUCUUGCUUUUAUUCAAUGUUACUAGAUUUAAAUAGCCAAAAGGAAUGUAUGAAAUGGAGCAGAUGAUAAGAUCAUGUCCCAGUUCUACAAGCCAUUGUUAUCCUAACAUUUGUUGAUAAAAACAGUUAAAAUGCACAUAUCCCCUCAGUGGUAUAAAUUUAACACAAUGUAUAAUUUAGUACACAUAAAUUACAUAUUAGGAAAUUUCUUUCAAAAUUUCAACUUCAGAAAAAUUUCCAAUUUAAAUAUUCUGGUUUACUUGCUUUAGGCUAACAAGGUUUUGUUGGGUCAUGCUUUUGAUCCACUUUGCUAGCCAAGGAUUACGAUCUGAUGAGAUAAGACCGGAUCGUACCGGAUCGUAACAUUAACCCUUGGCUAGCGAAGAUGGCUUUUGAUGAGAUAUAGCCAUUUAGCUGUUGUUAUAUAUUUCCAAAACUAUUGUCUUGUUAAUGUCUGCAUAUUUCCGCUGAUGGUCUUAUAGAAAUACUGAUGGUUGUCCAUAGUCUCUUUUACUUUGAUUUUUAUUUGAUCAUGUUUUUAAUUUGAAUUGUUAAUUUUCUUGUGUUAUGUUGCGAGUAAGAGGUCGACUGAAAUAUUUUAUUUAAUUAUUGUUCUAAAUUGUACAGCAAUAUUAUGAAUGCAGAACAUUAUAUAUUUUUUGUUGUUAUUUCAAAUAUGACUUUUUGGGGGAAUUUGAAAUGCACAAGAGGUAAUGCUGUGAAUUUAGCAGUAUAUACAGUAUAUGUAGUAGCUUUAAUCCAGACACUUAAGUUCCAAGCAAAAUUGGCUUAACUUGAAACAACUUUUUUUACUAGUAAAAGUUUGAAUAGGAAAAGUUCCAGUCUGUCUGUAAAACACAGGCUGGAUCAUAAGACAAAUAAAGUAGAGAUGAUGUUGGCUUGAUUUACGAAGCUCCACGUUUUAUAUGGUGAUAGCCUUUUUUGAGUUUGUAUGUCAUUUAUCAGGGUUUCAUAUUCUUAAUGGUCAAUAAAGGAAAAGCAUUUCAGCAUACGUAGGUAAAUAUCAGUCUAUCAGUAAAAUCACUUAUAUUAUACAAAUAUCAAAAAUUUGCUUUGAGUUAUCACAAUCUAUUGUUAAGGUUAGGAUUAUUCAUAUUUAUUUGGUAAUACCUGUAUAUAAAAGCACAAACGAUAAUGACCACUGAGGACCUUUGACCUCAGUUUUUUGCAAGGCUGUCAAUGAACAGAACAACUGUAUAGUAAAUGUUUUCAAGAUGAUUAUUUUUUAAAGGUUCAGAAUUAUAUUGUUUUAAAAUAAAUUUUGUAUGAAUGAUUUGCGAAUGAUCCUAUUUUGUUUGGUUGGUGUUGUUUUUGUUUUUCUACAUUAUACAUGCAAUUAUAACGCAAGAAUAUAAUAAAUCUCAACAAAGUU
Long non-coding RNA from Mizuhopecten yessoensis (Yesso scallop), 6481 nucleotides. RefSeq lists it as uncharacterized. The transcript is spliced from 3 exons. NCBI's taxonomy places the organism in Eukaryota, Metazoa, Mollusca, Bivalvia, Pectinida, Pectinidae. The record is from RefSeq and is a predicted model, not a curated record.